AACUAAGUUGGUUAUUGGUAUGAGCUUUCGUGUGCAUGUACACUUCUUCAGAUACACUGAAACAGAAGAAGAAACAAUCUGAAGAAGUGUGCAUGCACAUGAAAGCUCAUACCAAUAACCAACUUAGUUGG
Molecule: microRNA precursor, 131 nt
Filed under: Podarcis lilfordi (Lilford's wall lizard)
Lineage: Eukaryota; Metazoa; Chordata; Lepidosauria; Squamata; Lacertidae
Source: RNAcentral